This 201-nucleotide small RNA is filed under the name uncultured Ruania sp. RNAcentral describes it as "Actinobacteria sRNA Ms_IGR-5". It matches the Rfam family "Actinobacteria sRNA Ms_IGR-5". Lineage: Bacteria; Bacillati; Actinomycetota; Actinomycetes; Micrococcales; Ruaniaceae. The record is from RNAcentral.
ACACGGGAAAGGAGGUGAUCCGAGAGUGAAUUCUUAUCGGACGCGUGAGGUGACUGCCCGCUAGUCGCCCGUCAGCAACUACGGACGGACCGCCGUCUCGCAGGUGCCCGGGCACAGCGAGAACCAGGCAGUCACCGAUGAGCCCGCGGGGCGCACCCUCGUCCAGUGUGCACGUUCGGCCCAGCCGAACAGCCCGCGGGC